AACUUUUAAGUAAAUAGUUUUCGUAGGGAUUUGGAGUCCAAGUCUUUCGGGUCUCCUAUUUUGUUGGUAGUCGUUAUAUAUCCUAUUUUGGAGCUAUUUUUCCUAGUCUUAAGGAUCUCCUAGUUUGUAGUAGCUACUUUCCUAUUUUUCCUGCAGGUUUGUUUACAAUCCCUAUCCCUAUAUAAGAUAGAUAUGGCAACUCAUGAAGGAAAUUACCAUUUAUCUUCCAAACACUUGUGUUCGAUCGAAGGCCUAGGUUCCUCGGUCAAUCUAAAUUACCUCUUUUUUUGGCUAAUGGAAAGAGUGGAGGAGGGGACGACUAAGCGUAGCGACCCUUCUCUAAGCGGGAUCAUAGAGACGCUAGACCCGCGACGAGCCCUCUGAAGAAAAUCCAAAACUCAAAGAUGUGCACCGCUCCGGUACCAUCUUACCAUUGGAUAAUUACGCAUGUUUUGAUGACUCAAAACUGAUGUACAUGCAUAUCAAAGUCCUAUGCGUCCCUAUCGCAAAGCAUGUAGGUUUUACACCCCACCGUUUUCGUUGGUCUGUUGUAUUUCUCUAAGCCCAUAAGAUAGGUCAAUCUAGCUCCAUUCUGUGUCCUAUGUCCGCACUGAUUACCCGAACCGCUUGUUUUUCACAUGAUGAGUUUUGAAGAAAAUCACUAUGAAAAAAAUCAAUUUGAUCGGACAUAGGAUGAUAUGGGGGAUAUGCACGCCAACGGGGCUAUCGCUGUCUGCCACAUCAUCACUCGCCAAAUGAAAUCAGAGUUCCAUUUGGUAUGCUCAAUCUUGAGAUAUACUCACACCAACCACAUGGGGUCAAGGAGGCUUGGUAGCUCCUGCGUCACACCACGAAUUGAAGCUCAUGAUUCCAACGCUAUUGCAUCAUAUGAGAGAGAGUUUAAAGAAAAGGAGCUCUAUGUUGCCUUCAUUAGACUUGGGUUGAAAUCUGUUGGAGAAUUUAUAUAGGAAAAAAAUCUUGAAGUGGAGCACAAAAAGACUCCAAAGGUUAAAGAGAAGUUGGUGUUAGAAAAUGUAGUUUUUACAUUUGAGCAAAAGAAGAUUGCGAUGGAUAACAAGGUGUUCGCCUUAGAGAGAAUGAACUUAUUAAAGAGGAGCAAAAAUAUCUUGAUGAACACACAAAAAUAUUUAAGAACCUUAAUGGGUUUUCAAACUGACUUUCUUAGCUAUCUGCAAUAUAUUUUUGCUGCUCUUCAAGAAUUCCAUUCUCUAGGGCUAACUCCUCGUUAACCCUCAAGGUCUUUUUUUGCUCAUCUUUAAGAACUCCAUUCUUUAUCACCAACUUCUUGUUAAUCCUCAGAGUAUUUCUGUUCUCCACUUGAAGAUGUUUUUCCUGUUCUCUAAAAGAUGUCAACUCAAGUCUCAUUAUGGCAAUAUAUAGUUCAUUGUCUUUAAGCUCUCUCCACAAUAGCCUUGGAAUGCAUGAACUUCAUUUCUUGGUGCAACGCUGGAGCCUAGUACGAAUGCAAGUAGGAAACAAGCAGUUACAUAGUUUUUUCAUCGAUCAGUGAUCGCCAAGGUCAAGCUCAAUGGCAACAUCUUUUGGCACUAAGUCAGCUAUAAAAACCCUAACCCUAAUGUCUCUGGAUACAGUUGUGUUUCUACACCUUUUUUUUUAAUAGAUUAAGGUAAAUACUGUUAUAUAAGCAAUGGGGUCUGGGAAUAGAUCAA
Molecule: long non-coding RNA, 1691 nt
Organism: Rhododendron vialii
Lineage: Eukaryota; Viridiplantae; Streptophyta; Magnoliopsida; Ericales; Ericaceae
Exons: 3
Source: RefSeq, a predicted model, not a curated record